ACAGAGAUAGCUUGCUAUUUGCUGACGAGCGGCGGACGGGUGAGUAAUGCUUGGGAAUAUGCCUUAUGGUGGGGGACAACAGUUGGAAACGACUGCUAAUACCGCAUAACGUCUACGGACCAAAGGGGGGGAUGCUUCGGCACCUCCCGCCAUUUGAUUAGCCCAAGUGAGAUUAGCUAGUAGGUGAGGUAAGAGCUCACCUAGGCGACGAUCUCUAGCUGGUUUGAGAGGAUGAUCAGCCACACUGGGACUGAGACACGGCCCAGACUCCUACGGGAGGCAGCAGUGGGGAAUAUUGCACAAUGGGCGAAAGCCUGAUGCAGCCAUGCCGCGUGUGUGAAGAAGGCCUUCGGGUUGUAAAGCACUUUCAGCGAGGAGGAAAGGUUAGUGGUUAAUAGCCACUAGCUGUGACGUUACUCGCAGAAGAAGCACCGGCUAACUUCGUGCCAGCAGCCGCGGUAAUACGAGGGGUGCAAGCGUUAAUCGGAAUUACUGGGCGUAAAGCGUGCGUAGGUGGUUUGUUAAGCAAGAUGUGAAAGCCCUGGGCUCAACCUGGGAACUGCAUUUUGAACUGGCAAGCUAGAGUUUUGUAGAGGGUAGUGGAAUUUCCAGUGUAGCGGUGAAAUGCGUAGAGAUUGGAAGGAACAUCAGUGGCGAAG
RNAcentral lists this ribosomal RNA (659 nucleotides) under uncultured bacterium. RNAcentral describes it as "bacterial SSU rRNA". It matches the Rfam family "Bacterial small subunit ribosomal RNA", at positions 69 to 720 of the family's 1533-position model. The record is from RNAcentral.